This 285-nucleotide ribosomal RNA is filed under the name uncultured bacterium. RNAcentral's name for it is "partial 16S ribosomal RNA". It matches the Rfam family "Bacterial small subunit ribosomal RNA", at positions 773 to 1060 of the family's 1533-position model. The record is from RNAcentral.
GUGGAUUAGAUACCCCGGUAGUCCACGCCGUAAACGAUGAAUACUAGGUGUCGGGCGUCAAAACUCGGUGCCGCAGCUAACGUAUUAAGUAUUCCGCCUGGGGAGUACGCACGCAAGUGUGAAACUCAAAGGAAUUGACGGGGACCCGCACAAGCAGCGGAGCAUGUGGUUUAAUUCGAAGCAACGCGAAGAACCUUACCAGGUCUUGACAUCCUCUUGCAAGGGCCCUAGCCGGCCCCCUCCUUCGGGACAAGAGAGACAGGUGGUGCAUGGUCGUCGACAGCU